This 261-nucleotide ribosomal RNA is filed under the name uncultured archaeon. Its description in RNAcentral is "partial 16S ribosomal RNA". It matches the Rfam family "Archaeal small subunit ribosomal RNA", at positions 748 to 1009 of the family's 1478-position model. The record is from RNAcentral.
CAGCCGUAAACAAUGUGCGUUAGGUGUGUCGGUAACCACGUGUUACUGAUGCGCCGAAGAGAAAUCGUGAAACGCACCACCUGGGAAGUACGGUCGCAAGGCUGAAACUUAAAGGAAUUGGCGGGGGAGCACCACAACAGGUGGAGCCUGCGGUUUAAUUGGAUUCAACACCGUAAAACUCACCAGGGAAGACUGUUACAUGAAGGCCGAGAUGAAGACUCUGCUAGAUUUUCAGAGAGGAGGUGCAUGGCGUAGACGUCU